UACAGAGGUGGCAAGCGUUGUUCGGAAUUACUGGGCGUAAAGGGCGCGUAGGCGGUUCGAUAAGUCCCGUGUGAAAGCCCCCGGCUCAACUGGGGAACUGCACGGGAAACUGACGGACUUGAGUUCGGGAGAGGGAAGCGGAAUUCCGGGUGUAGCGGUGAAAUGCGUAGAUAUCCGGAGGAACACCGGUGGCGAAGGCGGCUUCCUGGACCGACACUGACGCUGAGGCGCGAAAGCUAGGGGAGCAAACGG
This 252-nucleotide ribosomal RNA is filed under the name uncultured prokaryote. RNAcentral's name for it is "partial 16S ribosomal RNA". It matches the Rfam family "Bacterial small subunit ribosomal RNA", at positions 524 to 775 of the family's 1533-position model. The record is from RNAcentral.